This 254-nucleotide ribosomal RNA is filed under the name uncultured bacterium. Its description in RNAcentral is "partial 16S ribosomal RNA". It matches the Rfam family "Bacterial small subunit ribosomal RNA", at positions 524 to 776 of the family's 1533-position model. The record is from RNAcentral.
UACAGAGGGUGCAAGCGUUGUUCGGAAUUAUUGGGCGUAAAGGGAGUGUAGGGCGGUUUCCUAAGUCUUCUGUGAAAUCUACGGGCUUAGCCUGUAACGUGCAGAGGAAACUGGGAGACUUGAGUGUCGGAGAGGAUAGGGGAAUACCCAGUGUAGAGGUGAAAUUCGUAGAGAUUGGGUGGAACACCAGUGGCGAAGGCGCCUGUCUGGCUGACAACUGACGCUGAGACUCGAAAGCAUGGGGAGCAAACAGG